Gorilla gorilla gorilla (western lowland gorilla) is the source of this 318-nucleotide long non-coding RNA. RefSeq lists it as uncharacterized. The record is from RefSeq and is a predicted model, not a curated record. The transcript is spliced from 3 exons. NCBI's taxonomy places the organism in Eukaryota, Metazoa, Chordata, Mammalia, Primates, Hominidae.
UGUAGAUAAGGACACUGAGGCAGCCAGGGAUUAAGUAAGUGGGUCACAUUUGCCCUGCUGGUACGAGGUACAUGAACCCUGGAAUGGGAAUUAGAAGGCCAUGCUCUCCUUUUGCUUCUGCCGCAAAGCAGCCUCUACAGGUAUUAUCAAAGAGAAGAUGAGAACCCUGAACUAAGAGGACCUCACAAGCCUGUAGUGAAGGAAGACCCUGUUGCCAAGAUGAGGUGCAGACGGUGGAGUUAAUCAUUCUCCUCAGUUCCUACUUGGUGAAUGUUUCAUGCAUUCGUGUGAAGAGAGUCCACCAAACAGGCUUUGUGU